GCUUCCUACGGGAGGCAGCAGUGGGGAAUUUUGGACAAUGGGCGCAAGCCUGAUCCAGCAAUGCCGCGUGAGUGAAGAAGGCCUUCGGGUUGUAAAGCUCUUUUGUCAGGGAAGAAACGGCCGCGGCUAAUAUCCGCGGCUAAUGACGGUACCUGAAGAAUAAGCACCGGCUAACUACGUGCCAGCAGCCGCGGUAAUACGUAGGGUGCAAGCGUUAAUCGGAAUUACUGGGCGUAAAGCGUGCGCAGGCGGUUUUGUAAGUCUGACGUGAAAUCCCCGGGCUCAACCUGGGAAUUGCGUUGGAGACUGCAAGGCUGGGGUCUGGCAGAGGGGGGUAGAAUUCCACGUGUAGCAGUGAAAUGCGUAGAGAUGUGGAGGAACACCGAUGGCGAAGGCAGCCCCCUGGGCCAAGACUGACGCUCAUGCACGAAAGCGUGGGGAGCAAACAGGAUUAGAUACCCUGGUAGUCCACGCCCUAAACGAUGUCUACUAGUUGUCGGGUCUUAAUUGACUUGGUAACGCAGCUAACGCGUGAAGUAGACCGCCUGGGGAGUACGGUCGCAAGAUUAAAACUCAAAGGAAUUGACGGAAGCCG
Molecule: ribosomal RNA, 595 nt
Filed under: uncultured bacterium
Lineage: Bacteria
Description: bacterial SSU rRNA
Rfam family: Bacterial small subunit ribosomal RNA
Source: RNAcentral